UAGCAAUAUUCUGUGGUCGGAGCGGCGCAAGGGUGCGUAACACGUGGGUAAUCUGCCAUGAAGUCCGGGAUAACUUGCUGAAAGGCGAGCUAAUACCGGAUGUGAUAUUCGGAGGGCAUCCUCCGGAUCUUAAAGUUGGGGACCGUAAGGCCUGACGCUUCAUGAUGAACCCGCGGCCUAUCAGCUAGUUGGUGAGGUAACGGCCCACCAAGGCUAAGACGGGUAGCUGGUCUGAGAGGACGACCAGCCACACUGGAACUGAGACACGGUCCAGACACCUACGGGUGGCAGCAGUCGAGAAUUUUUCACAAUGGGCGAAAGCCUGAUGGAGCGACGCCGCGUGGGGGAUGAAGGGCUUCGGCCUGUAAACCCCUGUCAUUUGCGAUCAACCCUUGCUAUUUAAAAGAUGGCAAGCUGAUAGUAGCGAAAGAGGAAGGGACGGCUAACUCUGUGCCAGCAGCCGCGGUAAUACAGAGGUCCCAAGCGUUGUUCGGAUUCACUGGGCGUAAAGGGUGCGUAGGUGGCGAAGUAAGUCGGAUGUGAAAUCUCCGAGCUCAACUCGGAAAUGGCAUUGGAAACUGCUUUGCUUGAGGUUUGGAAGGGGGACUGGAAUUCACGGUGUAGCA
This 626-nucleotide ribosomal RNA is filed under the name uncultured Verrucomicrobiota bacterium. RNAcentral describes it as "bacterial SSU rRNA". It matches the Rfam family "Bacterial small subunit ribosomal RNA", at positions 77 to 680 of the family's 1533-position model. The record is from RNAcentral. Lineage: Bacteria; Pseudomonadati; Verrucomicrobiota.